AGAAUCAACGCUGGCGGCGUGCCUAACACAUGCAAGUCGCACGAGAAAGGGGAGCAAUCCCUGAGUACAGUGGCGCACGGGUGAGUAACACGUGAAUAAUCUACCUCCGAGUGGGGAAUAACUGAGAGAAAUCUUAGCUAAUACCGCAUAAUACCCACGGGUCAAAGCAGCAAUGCGCUUGGAGAGGAGUUCGCGGCAGAUUAGUUAGUUGGCGGGGUAAUGGCCCACCAAGACGAUGAUCUGUAUCCGGCCUGAGAGGGCGCACGGACACACUGGAACUGAAACACGGUCCAGACUCCUACGGGAGGCAGCAGUGGGGAAUUUUGCGCAAUGGGGGAAACCCUGACGCAGCAACGCCGCGUGGAGGAUGAAGCCCCUUGGGGUGUAAACUCCUUUCGAUCGGGAAGAUAAUGACGGUACCGAUAUAAGAGCCCGGCUAACUUCGUGCCAGCAGCCGC
Molecule: ribosomal RNA, 458 nt
Filed under: uncultured bacterium
Lineage: Bacteria
Description: SSU rRNA
Rfam family: Bacterial small subunit ribosomal RNA
Source: RNAcentral